CAAAUCCUUCUGUCAGCUAGCA
This 22-nucleotide microRNA is filed under the name Gallus gallus (chicken). RNAcentral describes it as "microRNA Ros-gga". The record is from RNAcentral. Lineage: Eukaryota; Metazoa; Chordata; Aves; Galliformes; Phasianidae.